RNAcentral lists this microRNA precursor (78 nucleotides) under Schistosoma curassoni. RNAcentral describes it as "mir-3492 microRNA precursor family". It matches the Rfam family "mir-3492 microRNA precursor family". The record is from Rfam by way of RNAcentral. Lineage: Eukaryota; Metazoa; Platyhelminthes; Trematoda; Strigeidida; Schistosomatidae.
AGCCUUUCGGAUCCGUGCUGAGAUUUCGUCAGACACCAAAUCAUUAGGACUGAUCAGACUUCCAAGAUAAGUGAAGUU